Molecule: long non-coding RNA, 232 nt
Filed under: Capsicum annuum
Lineage: Eukaryota; Viridiplantae; Streptophyta; Magnoliopsida; Solanales; Solanaceae
Description: long non-coding RNA (CANN_LNC001290)
Source: RNAcentral
CAAGCAGCCUCCUCAAUACCAACCCAAUAUUCGACAUGCUCACUAUCCGGUCUUCAAUGCACAAGAGACAUAUCAUGCUCAACCUCCACCACAAAGCUAUCAAAAUAAUACUCCUCGUGCCAAUCAUGAAAGGAAGCCUCCCAAAAUUUUUAUGUCAUUGGUAGAAUCUCUUACCCAGUUUUUUGAAAGGUUGAAAGAAGCAAAACUACUUCAUCCAGUGGAAGCAACGCCU